ACGGAGGGUGCAAGCGUUAAUCGGAAUUACUGGGCGUAAAGCGCACGCAGGCGGUUUGUUAAGUCAGAUGUGAAAUCCCUCGGCUCAACCUGGGAACUGCAUUCGAUACUGGGAAGCUUGAGUGUCGGAGAGGGGGGUAGAAUUCCAGGUGUAGCGGUGAAAUGCGUAGAGAUCUGGAGGAAUACCAGUGGCGAAGGCGGCCCCCUGGACGAAAACUGACGCUGAGGUGCGAAAGCGUGGGGAUCAAACAG
This 251-nucleotide ribosomal RNA is filed under the name uncultured prokaryote. RNAcentral describes it as "partial 16S rRNA". It matches the Rfam family "Bacterial small subunit ribosomal RNA", at positions 525 to 775 of the family's 1533-position model. The record is from RNAcentral.